AUUGAACGCUGGCGGCAUGCCUAACACAUGCAAGUCGAACGGUAACAGGUCUUCGGAUGCUGACGAGUGGCGGACGGGUGAGUAAUGCGUAGGAAUCUGUCUUUUAGUGGGGGACAACCCAGGGAAACUUGGGCUAAUACCGCAUGAGCCCUGAGGGGGAAAGCGGGGGAUCUUCGGACCUCGCGCUAAGGGAAGAGCCUACGUCUGAUUAGCUAGUUGGUAGGGUAAAGGCCUACCAAGGCGACGAUCAGUAGCUGGUCUGAGAGGACGACCAGCCACACUGGGACUGAGACACGGCCCAGACUCCUACGGGAGGCAGCAGUGGGGAAUUUUUCGCAAUGGGGGCAACCCUGACGAAGCAAUGCCGCGUGGAUGAAGAAGGCCUUCGGGUUGUAAAGUCCUUUCGUGGGGGACGAAAAGGUGGUUCCUAAUACGAGCUGCUGUUGACGUGAACCCAAGAAGAAGCACCGGCUAACUCCGUGCCAGCAGCCGCGGUAAUACGUAGGGUGCGAGCGCUAAUCGGAAUCACUGGGCGUAAAGGGUGCGUAGGCGGUACGUUAGGUCUGUCGUGAAAUCCCCGGGCUCAACCUGGGAAUGGCGGUAGAAACCGGCGCACUAGAGUAUGGGAGAGGGUGGUGGAAUUCCAGGUGUAGCGGUGAAAUGCGUAGAGAUCUGGAGGAACAUCAGUGGCGAAGGCGGCCACCUGGCCCAAUACUGACGCUGAGGCACGAAAGCGUGGGGAGCAAACAGGAUUAGAUACCUGGUAGUCCACGCCCUAAACGAUGAAUACUAGAUGUUUG
Molecule: ribosomal RNA, 800 nt
Filed under: uncultured bacterium
Lineage: Bacteria
Description: bacterial SSU rRNA
Rfam family: Bacterial small subunit ribosomal RNA
Source: RNAcentral